UCAUGGAGGAUCGACACUAUCUGGAGU
Molecule: small RNA, 27 nt
Filed under: Bombyx mori (domestic silkworm)
Lineage: Eukaryota; Metazoa; Arthropoda; Insecta; Lepidoptera; Bombycidae
Description: ovarian small RNA-26246
Source: RNAcentral